This 72-nucleotide transfer RNA is filed under the name Chloroflexota bacterium. RNAcentral's name for it is "tRNA-Gly". It matches the Rfam family "tRNA". Rfam says of the family: Transfer RNA (tRNA) molecules are approximately 80 nucleotides in length. Their secondary structure includes four short double-helical elements and three loops (D, anti-codon, and T loops). Lineage: Bacteria; Bacillati; Chloroflexota. The record is from RNAcentral.
GCGGGCGUAGCUCAGAGGAAGAGUCCCUGCUUCCCAUGCAGGUUGUCGUGGGUUCGAAUCCCAUCGCCCGCU